This 222-nucleotide ribosomal RNA is filed under the name uncultured Rhodoferax sp. Its description in RNAcentral is "partial 16S ribosomal RNA". It matches the Rfam family "Bacterial small subunit ribosomal RNA", at positions 1160 to 1382 of the family's 1533-position model. The record is from RNAcentral. Lineage: Bacteria; Pseudomonadati; Pseudomonadota; Betaproteobacteria; Burkholderiales; Comamonadaceae.
AAGCCGGAGGAAGGUGGGGAUGACGUCAAGUCCUCAUGGCCCUUAUAGGUGGGGCUACACACGUCAUACAAUGGCUGGUACAAAGGGUUGCCAACCCGCGAGGGGAGCUAAUCCCAUAAAGCCAGUCGUAGUCCGGAUCGUAGUCUGCAACUCGACUACGUGAAGUCGGAAUCGCUAGUAAUCGUGGAUCAGAAUGUCACGGUGAAUACGUUCCCGGGUCUU